AAUUCGCCCUUAGAGUUUGAUCCUGGCUCAGGAUGAACGCUAGCUACAGGCUUAACACAUGCAAGUCGAGGGGCAGCGGGAUUGAAGCUUGCUUCAAUUGCCGGCGACCGGCGCACGGGUGAGUAACGCGUAUCCAACCUUCCGUACACUCAGGGAUAGCCUUUCGAAAGAAAGAUUAAUACCUGAUAGUAUCUUAAGCACACAUGUAAUUAAGAUUAAAGAUUUAUCGGUGUACGAUGGGGAUGCGUUCCAUUAGGUAGUAGGCGGGGUAACGGCCCACCUAGCCAACGAUGGAUAGGGGUUCUGAGAGGAAGGUCCCCCACAUUGGAACUGAGACACGGUCCAAACUCCUACGGGAGGCAGCAGUGAGGAAUAUUGGUCAAUGGACGAGAGUCUGAACCAGCCAAGUAGCGUGAAGGAUGAAGGUCCUACGGAUUGUAAACUUCUUUUAUAAGGGAAUAAACCCUCCCACGUGUGGGAGCUUGUAUGUACCUUAUGAAUAAGCAUCGGCUAACUCCGUGCCAGCAGCCGCGGUAAUACGGAGGAUGCGAGCGUUAUCCGGAUUUAUUGGGUUUAAAGGGAGCGCAGACGGGUCGUUAAGUCAGCUGUGAAAGUUUGGGGCUCAACCUUAAAAUUGCAGUUGAUACUGGCGUCCUUGAGUGCGGUUGAGGUGUGCGGAAUUCGUGGUGUAGCGGUGAAAUGCUUAGAUAUCACGAAGAACUCCGAUUGCGAAGGCAGCUUGCUAAACUGUAACUGACGUUCAUGCUCGAAAGUGUGGGUAUCAAACAGGAUUAGAUACCCUGGUAGUCCACACGGUAAACGAUGGAUACUCGCUGUUGGCGAUAUACUGUCAGCGGCCAAGCGAAAGCAUUAAGUAUCCCACCUGGGGAGUACGCCGGCAACGGUGAAACUCAAAGGACAUUGACGGAAGGGCGA
RNAcentral lists this ribosomal RNA (936 nucleotides) under uncultured bacterium. RNAcentral describes it as "bacterial SSU rRNA". It matches the Rfam family "Bacterial small subunit ribosomal RNA", at positions 1 to 924 of the family's 1533-position model. The record is from RNAcentral.